ACCUUGUGAAUUCAUACGGAUAACUUCCAAUUAAAAUUCAGGACUACAGCCUGAUCUCGGAAGCUAAGCAGGGUUGGGCCUGGUUAUUACUUGGAUGGGCGACCACCUAGGAAGACCAGGUGCUAUAGGUA
Molecule: ribosomal RNA, 131 nt
Organism: Pteropus vampyrus (large flying fox)
Lineage: Eukaryota; Metazoa; Chordata; Mammalia; Chiroptera; Pteropodidae
Source: Ensembl